AACGAUUUUACUCAGGCGUGCGUUUGGCCAGCCUAACCGUGCGGGGGACCUAGCCGGCGGCCCCGGAACAUGUAUUCGACAUACUCGGUUCCUCCGGCGAUUGCGUGUGAGCCGUCACUCAGUCUGGUGUGUGUUUUCUCCGCACGGUUGUGACGCACAUGAUUUAGGAGACGAUGUCGAACCCGUACGAGAAGCCCCAGAUCAUAGCGCACAUACAGAAAAGCUUGAACUACACGGUGUUCGACAGUAAAUGGAUCCCGUGCAGCGCCAAGUUCGUGUGCAUGGGGAGCCUGGCGAGGGGAGCCGGCGUCCUGCAGCUCUACGAGAUCCAGCGCGGAGAGGUUCACCUGCUCAAGGAGAUUGAAAAGGCGAAGCCGAUCAAGUGCGGGACCUUCGGCGCCACUUCUCUACAGCAAAGACAUAUAGCCACCGGGGACUUUGACGGGAACCUCAGUGUUUGGAACCUGGAGGCUCCCGCAGUUCCGGUGUAUUCGGUGAAGGCACACAAGGAAAUUGUGAACAGCAUCGACGGGGUUGGGGGUCUGGGCAUCGGGGACGGAGCCCCUGAGAUCGUCACUGGAAGCAGAGAUGGGACAGUAAAGGUGUGGGACCCCAGACAAAAAGACUCGCCGGUGGCCAACAUGGAGCCGGUUGACGGGGAAGCCAAACGGGAUUGCUGGACUGUGGCUUUUGGCCACGCGUUCAAUGACCAGGACCGGUGUGUGUGCGCCGGCUAUGAUAAUGGGGACAUAAAGCUCUUUGACCUCAGAAACAUGUCUCUGCGAUGGGAGAAGAACAUCAAAAAUGGGGUGUGCUGUGUUGAGUUUGACAGGAAGGACAUCAGUAUGAACAAACUGGUGGCAACGUCGCUGGAAGGGAAGUUUCACGUCUUCGACAUGCGGACGCAGCAUCCAACGAAGGGCUUUGCGUCCGUUUCGGAAAAGGCACACAAGUCGACGGUGUGGCAGGUCAGACACCUCCCUCAGAACCGGGACGUCUUCAUGACCACAGGAGGAGCCGGAAGCCUUCACCUGUGGAAAUACGAAUAUCCAGCGCAGCGCUGUAAGAAGGAUGCCGACGACGUGGACAUGGGCGUCGCCGGCACCGUGACCCUCCUGCAGAACGUCACCCUGUCCACGCAGCCCAUAGCCAGCCUGGACUGGAGCCCCGACAAGCAAGGACUGUGUUUGUGCUCUGCCUUCGACCAGAGUGUGCGCGUGCUCAUCGUCACCAAGCUCGGCCGGCUCUGAGCAUCAGGUAACCUUUGCACUGGAGCAUCACGUGAUAUUGCGCCGAUGGACAGACGGUGGACCCUCCAUCUCACCCUAUUUUGCUGACUUCUUAAUGUAUAUUGUGUAAUGUAUAUUACUUUUGUUUACACGUGUUUUACUACCCUGCAAGAAGAGCUGUGUAUGAAUGAAGAUCCCGUUAAUUAAAGUAACUCCACUCAUCCUUUAUAUAACGUGGUCCCAAAAACGAUGUCUACUGAAAAUGUAUAUUCCCUUUGUUCAUACAACUGACUUAUUCAUCCACUACAACAGUAUUUUUGCCAGUUACACUGACUUUACAUUCUGUACAAGAGACUGACUCCUUGGGACAGAGAAGGAUGCUUGAUGUCUAAAGUCAGAAGGGUUUCAUGCCAUUAGCAUCAGUCUGGCUGUUUUCUGUAUCCAGGAACAAAAAUAUUUUCCUGUACAAAUAAUGUUAAUUUGGCCUCCUCACAAAGGACAUUCACCAAAUGGGUUGAUUUAAUGAAGAGAAUUAACACCUUCAUGUGAGGACUGGGUGUCAUUUCACAGGCCAGUAGAUGCCAUAUUUCUGUUGUCUUUGAGGCAGGAAAAAAGGAAGUGAAAAAUAAAAUGGUGUUAAAUUUCAUUGCAAAGGAAAUGACAGAUGACAUGGACUUGAAGAAUAAAAUACAUCUACACAGUCUACCCUGCACAGCAACAUUCAGUUACUUGUUUUGCUGAAAUGCACUGAAAUGAAAAAUUGCGUCAUUGUAUCCACCAUUUGAAUGAGAGAGAUUCUGGAAGUUCUGAAGGUAUCUGCAUAUACAGAGGGUGGCAGAUUGUGCCUUCUGUAGGAUCAACCAUGGCCUGCGAUGAUCUAGAGGAGGAGUGCUUUGGAGGCACUUGAGGACAACAGUUCCCUAGUUUGACUGAAGAGCCCUACUGAUGGUCCCUGGCUUGGUACUGCAGCUCACCCUCUGCUGGCUGUGAACUUCAUCUUUACACCAUUAGAUGGAAAAAUUUGUUAUAAAUAAUUAAAAUUUCCAGAGUUAAGAGAAAUAUAUAUGGCCAUAACUCUAGGCUUCAUUUCCUUCUGGAAACAGCUGUCAAAGAAGAAGUCUUUGACAGCCCUGUGAUUUCCUGGUUAAUUGAGCUUUUGUUGGGUUUUCCAGCGGUGGACAAUCUGCAUGUAAUGAAAGCAGUGUAAGAGUUUACCGCACCUGCUGCUCAGCUGGACAUUAGGGCUAGCUAGAGUCCACUGCCAACAGGUCCUUUAAGAAACACCUCUGCCUGGCCAACCACUUCUGCUGCCACUGCACAUCUGAUGGAUGAUGAACAAGAAAAAUGCAAAAUACUGAUGCAGAUGUCUCAGUACAAGUCUUGACUUGAGCGAAAUGGAAAAAGCUGAAUGCGCAGCCGGAAGAAAUCGACUGUGUUUUCUCCAGAAAGGAAGAGGGACCUGGAGACAGAGACAUGCCGAUAAUGAGCAUGGUGCUUCAUUGUGCUUACUGGGUUGGUCCGUGCUUGGGGGUGUCCUCCAGCCUGCCACUCACCCUUUUUUUUUUUUUUGGAGAGCAGGUCCCAGUCAGUGUGCCAACUGAGCCUGGUCGAGGAAGCAAAGAGCCUGGCUUCUGCAGAGAGAGACUGGCACUGCAGUCUGCCACGAGGUGGAGAAAGAAGCAUUAUGUCCCCACUAUUUUCAGUCAGAGUGAUCCUAAUGCUGUUUCUGGGUCAAAAUUCCUUUCACACCCAGAAAACACUGUCAUGUUUGAGCUUGUCGAGUUUGCAUUUAAUGGUGUGUGACCUGGUGGAGGGAACAGUGAGGUCACCAUCUUCUGCAGGACAAAGAGCCCCCUACAUGGGGGGAUGGACUUCAGCCUGAAGGCCGAGGCGUAGUGAGCAACAGCACAGCCUGUUCUGGACUGGCUGUCCACGUGCCGCAUCACAUGACCUGGGUCCACCCACACAGACAACGCUGUUGGGAUGCUGCCAUGGCGACGAUGUAACGUCUUCAUUUGAAUGUUGUUCUCAAAGCUUAAUAUCUGUAUUAUAUUUACCACAAGUCAGCUGUACUGUUUAUGACUAAAUAAAGACAAUGUACGUA
Molecule: RNA transcript, 3333 nt
Organism: Scleropages formosus (Asian bonytongue)
Lineage: Eukaryota; Metazoa; Chordata; Actinopteri; Osteoglossiformes; Osteoglossidae
Gene: dnaaf10
Gene name: dynein axonemal assembly factor 10
Exons: 9
Source: RefSeq, a predicted model, not a curated record